RNAcentral lists this ribosomal RNA (486 nucleotides) under uncultured bacterium. RNAcentral's name for it is "partial 16S ribosomal RNA". It matches the Rfam family "Bacterial small subunit ribosomal RNA", at positions 30 to 507 of the family's 1533-position model. The record is from RNAcentral.
AUUGAACGCUGGCGGCAUGCCUUACACAUGCAAGUCGAACGGCAGCACGGGUGCUUGCACCUGGUGGCGAGUGGCGAACGGGUGAGUAAUACAUCGGAACAUGUCCUGUAGUAGGGGAUAGCCCGGCGAAAGCCGGAUUAAUACCGCAUACGAUCCACGGAUGAAAGCGGGGGACCUUCGGGCCUCGCGCUAUAGGGUUGGCCGAUGGCUGAUUAGCUAGUUGGUGGGGUAAAGGCCUACCAAGGCGACGAUCAGUAGCUGGUCUGAGAGGACGACCAGCCACACUGGGACUGAGACACGGCCCAGACUCCUACGGGAGGCAGCAGUGGGGAAUUUUGGACAAUGGGCGAAAGCCUGAUCCAGCAAUGCCGCGUGUGUGAAGAAGGCCUUCGGGUUGUAAAGCACUUUUGUCCGGAAAGAAAUCCUUGACUCUAAUACAGUCGGGGGAUGACGGUACCGGAAGAAUAAGCACCGGCUAACUACGUG